This is a long non-coding RNA of Fundulus heteroclitus (mummichog), 346 nucleotides long. RefSeq lists it as uncharacterized. The transcript is spliced from 3 exons. The record is from RefSeq and is a predicted model, not a curated record. Lineage: Eukaryota; Metazoa; Chordata; Actinopteri; Cyprinodontiformes; Fundulidae.
CAGUGGCAAAAUGUGGCGUCCACCAAAAUGUGAAGGAUUGUUUGUCUGCACAGGAUCCCCACUGUGUGUGGUGUGUCUCUGCUGACAGCUGCACAUUUAAAGACCACUGCACAGAUUCAGAGUGGUUGUCCAUCCCUAAUGAAUCGCAGAAAAAAAUGGUUUCCCAUCAAGUUAUGAAGGACUCCCAUGGAAAGAUCAAAUUAAUGAUCCAGACACAUCUGACUGUGGAGCAGAAGCUUCAUUUUAACUUCACCUGUGAAUUCUCUACAAAUUCUAGUCAGCUUUGUGGGCAACAUGGGCUUUCAGCACACUUCCCUCAAUGCACCUGCACCCUUCUUGACAAUCU